Molecule: ribosomal RNA, 253 nt
Filed under: uncultured bacterium
Lineage: Bacteria
Description: partial 16S ribosomal RNA
Rfam family: Bacterial small subunit ribosomal RNA
Source: RNAcentral
UACAGAGGUCCCGAGCGUUAGGCGGAAUCACUGGGCUUAAAGCGUGUGUAGGCGGGUCGGUAAGUACCUUGUGAAAUCCCACGGCUCAACCGUGGAACUGCUUGGUAUACUGCCGAUCUUGUGCCACCUAGGGGCGAGCGGAACAGAUGGUGGAGCGGUGAAAUGCGUAGAUAUCAUCUGGAACGCCAAUGGUGAAAACAGCUCGCUGGGGGUGUGCAGACGCUGAGACACGAAAGCCAGGGGAGCAAACGGG